CUUCGGCAGCCGAAAAGCCUGCCUCCCCAGCCAUGUUCGGCGGCCGAAAGCUCCUUCGGCUGCCGAACCUGGUUUCUGCCAAAGGGCAGAAACUUGGCUCCCUUAAGCAUUUUCGCCUCCAAACUCACCAAUCAUGCAUAAACUUGUUCUAAAACAUGCAUACAAGUUCCUAGGGGUCUCAAACAAUCAAAUACCCCAACUACAACACUUCAACCACACAUAAACAACAUACAUUGCUCAAAUCGUCAUCAAAACCCAUAAACUCAACUUAAAGCCUAACAUGCAUCUCUACCCCAUAAAACAACUUAAAACUUACUUAAAACAUAUAAGGAGCUUAAGAUCGGCUCUUACCUCUUGAAGAUCGAGAGGGAGACGACCUAAACUUGGAGAUCCACGAAAAUGAGCUCCUGAGUUCCCAAAGCUCCAAAACUUGUUUCAAAAGUUCAAAACCUUCAAAGCAA
RNAcentral lists this long non-coding RNA (461 nucleotides) under Manihot esculenta (cassava). RNAcentral describes it as "long non-coding RNA (MESC_LNC011186)". Lineage: Eukaryota; Viridiplantae; Streptophyta; Magnoliopsida; Malpighiales; Euphorbiaceae. The record is from RNAcentral.